Protopterus annectens (West African lungfish) is the source of this 154-nucleotide ribosomal RNA. RefSeq annotates it as 5.8S ribosomal RNA. The transcript has a single exon. The record is from RefSeq and is a predicted model, not a curated record. Lineage: Eukaryota; Metazoa; Chordata; Ceratodontiformes; Protopteridae.
GACUCUGAGACGUGGAUCACUUGGCUUGUGUGUCGAUGAAGAACACAGCUAGUUGUGAGAACUAAUGCAAAUUACAGGACACAUUGAUCAUCAACACUUCAAAUGCACUUUGUGGCCCCGGGUUACUCCCGGGGCUACGCCUGUCUGAGGGUCA